AGUCACUGACAUUAGAUACCCGGGUAGUCCAGGGUGUAAACGCUGCAGACUUGGUGUUGGAGGCCCUUUGGGGGCAUUCAGUGCCGGAGAGAAGUUGUUAAGUCUGCUACUUGGGAGUACGUCCGCAAGGAUGAAACUUAAAGGAAUUGGCGGGGGAGCACCGCAACGGGAGGAGCGUGCGGUUUAAUUGGAUUCAACACCGUAAACUCACCAGGGAAGACUGUUACAUGAAGGCCGAGAUGAAGACUCUGCUAGAUUUUCAG
Molecule: ribosomal RNA, 263 nt
Filed under: uncultured archaeon
Lineage: Archaea
Description: partial 16S ribosomal RNA
Rfam family: Archaeal small subunit ribosomal RNA
Source: RNAcentral